Non-coding RNA from Pteropus alecto (black flying fox), 73 nucleotides. NCBI's taxonomy places the organism in Eukaryota, Metazoa, Chordata, Mammalia, Chiroptera, Pteropodidae. The record is from Rfam.
GGUUCCAUAGUGUACAAAUCAGCACAUUUGCUUUACACGCAGAAGAUCCUGGGUUCGCGCCCCAGUGGAGCCA